AUGAAUACCAAUGAUAACACACACUUGCCAACUGAAUCUUCUAUGACGACAGAAGGGAAAGAAAUAGCAGUGACUAUGUUACAAGAACAAGAAAGCCUUCCAUUUUCAGGUUCUAUGACACACAGUUCAGGGGUCCAUCAAAGUAGGUGUCUGACAAAAAGGAAACGAGUGACAACAGUCAAUAGUUAUGAUGUGUCUGCAUCUGACCAAAGCAUCCUUGCUCAGCCAAACAUGUGCCACCCAAAAAAGGGUACUCGGCUGAAGAUCAGUCCAUCUGGAAUUUCUGUAUCUCCUAUUGCUUCAUAA
RNAcentral lists this ribosomal RNA (306 nucleotides) under Triticum aestivum (bread wheat). RNAcentral's name for it is "partial small subunit ribosomal RNA". Lineage: Eukaryota; Viridiplantae; Streptophyta; Magnoliopsida; Poales; Poaceae. The record is from RNAcentral.